RNAcentral lists this ribosomal RNA (463 nucleotides) under uncultured bacterium. Its description in RNAcentral is "partial 16S ribosomal RNA". It matches the Rfam family "Bacterial small subunit ribosomal RNA", at positions 28 to 506 of the family's 1533-position model. The record is from RNAcentral.
GACGAACGCUGGCGGCGUGCUUAACACAUGCAAGUCGAACGGAAAGGCCCUGCUUGCAGGGUACUCGAGUGGCGAACGGGUGAGUAACACGUGGGUGAUCUGCCCUGCACUUCGGGAUAAGCCUGGGAAACUGGGUCUAAUACCGGAUAGGAGCCAUUUUUAGUGUGAUGGUUGGAAAGUUUUUCGGUGUAGGAUGAGCUCGCGGCCUAUCAGCUUGUUGGUGGGGUAAUGGCCUACCAAGGCGGCGACGGGUAGCCGGCCUGAGAGGGUGGACGGCCACAUUGGGACUGAGAUACGGCCCAGACUCCUACGGGAGGCAGCAGUGGGGAAUAUUGCACAAUGGGCGCAAGCCUGAUGCAGCGACGCCGCGUGGGGGAUGACGGCCUUCGGGUUGUAAACUCCUUUCGCUAGGGACGAAGCUUUUUGUGACGGUACCUAGAUAAGAAGCACCGGCUAACUACGU